This 442-nucleotide ribosomal RNA is filed under the name uncultured bacterium. RNAcentral describes it as "partial 16S ribosomal RNA". It matches the Rfam family "Bacterial small subunit ribosomal RNA", at positions 338 to 795 of the family's 1533-position model. The record is from RNAcentral.
CCUACGGGAGGCAGCAGUGGGGGAUAUUGCACAAUGGGGGAAACCCUGAUGCAGCGACGCCGCGUGGGCGAAGAAGUAUUUCGGUAUGUUAAGCCCUAUCAGCAGGGGAGCAGAAAUGACGGUACCUGAGUAAGAAGCACCGGCUAAAUACGUGCCAGCAGCCGCGGUAAUACGUAUGGUGCAAGCGUUAACCGGAUUUACUGGGUGUAAAGGGAGCGCAGGCGGCACGGCAAGCCUGAUGGGAAAGCGCGCGGCCCAAACGCGGGACUGCCUUGGGAACUGCCGGGCUGGAGUGGCGGAGAGGUAGGCGGAAUUCGUAGUGUAGCGGUGAAAUGCAUAGAUAUUAGGAGGAACACCAGUGGCGAAGGCAGCAUACUGGACGGUGACUGACGCUGAGGCUCGAAAGCGUGGGGAGCAAACAGGAUUAGAUACCCCAGUAGUC